This 406-nucleotide ribosomal RNA is filed under the name uncultured bacterium. RNAcentral's name for it is "partial 16S ribosomal RNA". It matches the Rfam family "Bacterial small subunit ribosomal RNA", at positions 30 to 526 of the family's 1533-position model. The record is from RNAcentral.
AUUGAACGCUGGCGGCAGGCCGAACACAUGCAAGUCGAACGAGUGGCGGACGGGUGAGUAAUGUCUGGGAAACUGGCUGAUGGAGGGGGAUAACUACGGGAAACGGUAGCUAAUACCGCAUGACAUCAGAUGUGCCCAGAUGGGAUUAGCUUGUUGGUGGGGUAACGGCUCACCAAGGCGAAGAUCCCUAGCUGGUCUGAGAGGAUGACCACCCAGACUGGAACUGUGUCACGGUCAAGACGCCUACGGUAGGCAGCAGUGGGGAAUAUUGCACAAUGGGCGCAAGCCUGCAGCAGCCAUGGCGCGUGGAGGAAGAAGGCCUUCGGGUUGUAAAGUACUUUUAGCGGGGAGGCGUUACCCGCAUAAGAAGCACCUGCUAACUCCGUGCCAGCAGCCGCGGUAAUAC